GGAACUUUAGCUCAAUCGGUUAGAGCCGCGGACUCAUAACCCGCUGGUUCCGGGUUCAAGUCCCGGAGGUUCCA
This 74-nucleotide transfer RNA is filed under the name Hallerella porci. Its description in RNAcentral is "Fibrobacter sp. UWS4 tRNA-Met". It matches the Rfam family "tRNA". Rfam says of the family: Transfer RNA (tRNA) molecules are approximately 80 nucleotides in length. The record is from RNAcentral. Lineage: Bacteria; Pseudomonadati; Fibrobacterota; Fibrobacteria; Fibrobacterales; Fibrobacteraceae. RNAcentral also lists the same sequence under 1 other name.